CUACGUAGGUGGCAAGCGUUGUCCGGAAUUAUUGGGCGUAAAGCGCGCGCAGGUGGUUCCUUAAGUCUGAUGUGAAAGCCCCCGGCUCAACCGGGGAGGGUCAUUGGAAACUGGGGAACUUGAGUGCAGAAGAGGAUAGUGGAAUUCCAAGUGUAGCGGUGAAAUGCGUAGAGAUUUGGAGGAACACCAGUGGCGAAGGCGACUGUCUGGUCUGUAACUGACACUGAGGCGCGAAAGCGUGGGGAGCAAACAGGAUUAGAUACCCUGGUAGUCCACGCCGUAAACGAUGAGUGCUAAGUGUUGGGGGGUUUCCGCCCCUCAGUGCUGCAGCUAACGCAUUAAGCACUCCGCCUGGGGAGUACGGUCGCAAGACUGAAACUCAAAUGAAUUGACGGGG
Molecule: ribosomal RNA, 397 nt
Filed under: uncultured bacterium
Lineage: Bacteria
Description: partial 16S ribosomal RNA
Rfam family: Bacterial small subunit ribosomal RNA
Source: RNAcentral